UACCUGUGAUGAUGAGAUUCUGCCAAAUGAAUGCUAUGAUUAAAUUGCAUUACCGUUCCACUUAUUCUGAGGUU
Erpetoichthys calabaricus (reedfish) is the source of this 74-nucleotide small nucleolar RNA. NCBI's taxonomy places the organism in Eukaryota, Metazoa, Chordata, Cladistia, Polypteriformes, Polypteridae. The record is from Ensembl.